CAAAGACUCCCGGUUGGAUUUCAUGCCUAGGGUGGAAUUAGAAUUCACCACCUCCUGGUUUCUAGGCCAGCAACUUAACCACUGCACUAAAC
Pseudonaja textilis is the source of this 92-nucleotide non-coding RNA. Lineage: Eukaryota; Metazoa; Chordata; Lepidosauria; Squamata; Elapidae. The record is from RefSeq and is a predicted model, not a curated record.